GGUACCCAGUUCGGAUUGUAGGCUGCAACUCGCCUACAUGAAGUCGGAGUUGCUAGUAAUCGCGGAUCAGAAUGCCGCGGUGAAUGCGUUCCCGGGUCUUGUACACACCGCCCGUCACACCAUGGAAGUUGGGGGCGCCCGAAGUUGCCUAAGAAAAUAAGGUACCUAAGGCGAAACCAAUGACUGGGGUGAAGUCGUAACAAGGUACC
This 209-nucleotide ribosomal RNA is filed under the name uncultured bacterium. Its description in RNAcentral is "partial 16S ribosomal RNA". It matches the Rfam family "Bacterial small subunit ribosomal RNA", at positions 1283 to 1500 of the family's 1533-position model. The record is from RNAcentral.